GACGAACGCUGGCGGCGUGCUUAACACAUGCAAGUCGAACGGAAAGGCCCUGCUUUUGUGGGGUGCUCGAGUGGCGAACGUGUGAGUAACACGUGAGUAACCUGCCCUUGACUUUUGGAUAACUUCAGGAAACUGUGGCUAAUACCGGAUAGGAGCUCCUGCUUCAUUGUGGGGGUUGGAAAUUUUCGGCGGUUGGGGAUGGACUCGCGGCUUAUCAGCUUGUUGGUGGGGUAGUGGCUUACCAAGGCUUUGACGGUUAGCCGGCCUGAGAGGGUGACCGGACACAUUGGGACUGAGAUACGGACCAGACUGCUACGGGAGGCAGCAGUGGGGAAUAUUGCACAAUGGGCGGAAGCCUGAUGCAGCAACGCAGAGGGCGGGAUGACGGCCUUCGGGUUGUAAACCGCUUUCGCCUGUGACGAAGCGUGAGUGACGGUAAUGGGUAAAGAAGCACCGGCUAACUACGUG
Molecule: ribosomal RNA, 468 nt
Filed under: uncultured bacterium
Lineage: Bacteria
Description: partial 16S ribosomal RNA
Rfam family: Bacterial small subunit ribosomal RNA
Source: RNAcentral